UACGGGGGGAGCAAGCGUUGUUCGGAAUUACUGGGCGUAAAGGGCUCGUAGGCGGCCAACUAAGUCAGACGUGAAAUCCCUCGGCUUAACCGGGGAACUGCGUCUGAUACUGGAUGGCUUGAGAUUGGGAGAGGGAUGCGGAAUUCCAGGUGUAGCGGUGAAAUGCGUAGAUAUCGGGAGGAACACCAGUGGCGAAGGCGACUACCUGGCCCAUUCUUGACGCUGAGGCGCGAAAGCUAGGGGAGCGAACGGG
RNAcentral lists this ribosomal RNA (253 nucleotides) under uncultured bacterium. Its description in RNAcentral is "partial 16S ribosomal RNA". It matches the Rfam family "Bacterial small subunit ribosomal RNA", at positions 524 to 776 of the family's 1533-position model. The record is from RNAcentral.